UACGUAGGUGGCAAGCGUUGUCCGGAUUUACUGGGCGUAAAGAGCGCGCAGGCGGUCGAUUUAGUCGCGUGUGAAAGCCCCCGGCUCAACUGGGGAGGGUCACGCGAUACUGAUCGACUCGAAGGCAGGAGAGGGUAGUGGAAUUCCCGGUGUAGUGGUGAAAUGCGUAGAUAUCGGGAGGAACACCAGUGGCGAAGGCGACUACCUGGCCUGUUCUUGACGCUGAGGCGCGAAAGCUAGGGGAGCAAACGGGG
RNAcentral lists this ribosomal RNA (254 nucleotides) under uncultured bacterium. RNAcentral's name for it is "partial 16S ribosomal RNA". It matches the Rfam family "Bacterial small subunit ribosomal RNA", at positions 524 to 777 of the family's 1533-position model. The record is from RNAcentral.